UUCAGCCGGCAGUUUGAGUCUAGACCCGAAGCGCCGCGCUCUUGCUUGCUAGAGCGUCUCCGCGUCUUCACGCUGGGCGACUUGCUUUCUCGCCGGGUCCCCCAGUCCCGCCCAGCCUCGCCGGGUCGGCAGUCCGAUCCCGCGCUGUGCGCCUGCAGCUGGUGCGCCCGCCAAGCGCUGGUGCCUCGCUUGCUGUCCGCCUCGGCUGCGCGGGUGGCUCCUGAGUCGCUGCCUCUGCUGCAGUUCAAAGCUGUAUCAGGCACUCCCUGAGCCCCAGGGAAGCAGACUCCAGGGCAGGAAGCAGACCUUAGGACGUCUUUCCUGGCUUCCCAGCCCAGUUGCCACAACAAACAGCAGAGAAGACAUUGGUGAGUGGUCAGUUAAAGUUCUGUUGUGCACCAUUCUUCCUUCCAGCACCC
RNAcentral lists this long non-coding RNA (419 nucleotides) under Ictidomys tridecemlineatus (thirteen-lined ground squirrel). RNAcentral's name for it is "lncRNA (ENSSTOG00000031222.1)". Lineage: Eukaryota; Metazoa; Chordata; Mammalia; Rodentia; Sciuridae. The record is from RNAcentral.